CAUGAACACUGGAAACAUUCUUAUCGUACGAUCGCGCAUGGGCAAGGCGGUGUAACCGUCUGGCGAAAGCCUCUCAUGCGCGAAACACAGGCUCCUUCGGGGGCCUUUUUUAUUGGCCCGGU
This 122-nucleotide small RNA is filed under the name Nitratireductor indicus C115. RNAcentral describes it as "Rhizobiales sRNA Atu_C8". It matches the Rfam family "Rhizobiales sRNA Atu_C8". Lineage: Bacteria; Pseudomonadati; Pseudomonadota; Alphaproteobacteria; Hyphomicrobiales; Phyllobacteriaceae. The record is from Rfam by way of RNAcentral.